AAAUUGAAGAGUUUGAUCAUGGCUCAGAUUGAACGCUGGCGGCAGGCCUAACACAUGCAAGUCGAACGGUAACAGGAAGCAGCUUGCUGCUUCGCUGACGAGUGGCGGACGGGUGAGUAAUGUCUGGGAAACUGCCUGAUGGAGGGGGGUAACUACUGGAAACGGUGGCUAAUACCGCAUAACGUCGCAAGACCAAAGAGGGGGACCUUCGGGCCUCUUGC
Molecule: ribosomal RNA, 221 nt
Filed under: Salmonella enterica subsp. enterica serovar Typhimurium
Lineage: Bacteria; Pseudomonadati; Pseudomonadota; Gammaproteobacteria; Enterobacterales; Enterobacteriaceae
Description: partial 16S ribosomal RNA
Rfam family: Bacterial small subunit ribosomal RNA
Source: RNAcentral